CCUACGGGUGGCAGCAGUGGGGAAUCUUGCGCAAUGGCCGAAAGGCUGACGCAGCGACGCCGCGUGUGGGAGGAAGCUCUUCGGGGUGUAAACCACUGUUGCCCGGGACGAACACACUCAUUCGUGAGUGCUGACGGUACCGGGUGAGGAAGCACCGGCUAACUCUGUGCCAGCAGCCGCGGUAAUACAGAGGGUGCGAGCGUUGUCCGGAAUCACUGGGCGUAAAGGGCGCGUAGGCGGUCCGGUAAGCGUGUGGUGAAAGCCCGGGGCUCAAC
Molecule: ribosomal RNA, 275 nt
Filed under: uncultured Gemmatimonas sp.
Lineage: Bacteria; Pseudomonadati; Gemmatimonadota; Gemmatimonadia; Gemmatimonadales; Gemmatimonadaceae
Description: partial 16S ribosomal RNA
Rfam family: Bacterial small subunit ribosomal RNA
Source: RNAcentral